CCUACGGGUGGCUGCAGUGGGGAAUAUUGCACAAUGGGGGAAACCCUGAUGCAGCGACGCCGCGUGAGUGAAGAAGGAAUUCGUUAUGUAAAGCGCUAUCAGCAGGGAAGAAAAUGACGGUAACGGAGUAAUAAGCCCCGGCUAACUACGUGCCAGCAGCCGCUGUAAUACGUAGGGCGCAAGCGUUAUCCGGAUAUACUGUGUGUAAAGGCAGCGGAGACGGCAGUGCAAGUCCGGAGUGAAAGGCGGGGGCUUAACCCCCGGACUGCUCUGGAGACUGUACAGCUGGAGUGCAGUAGAGGUAAGUGUAAUUCCUAGUGAAGCGGUGAAAUGCGUAGAUAUAAGGAAGAACACCAGUGGCGAAGGCGGCUUACUGGACUGUAACUGACGUUGAGGCUCGAAAGCGUGGGGAGCAAACAGGAUUAGAUACCCGUGUAGUC
Molecule: ribosomal RNA, 440 nt
Filed under: uncultured bacterium
Lineage: Bacteria
Description: partial 16S ribosomal RNA
Rfam family: Bacterial small subunit ribosomal RNA
Source: RNAcentral